RNAcentral lists this ribosomal RNA (2788 nucleotides) under Escherichia coli. RNAcentral's name for it is "bacterial LSU rRNA". It matches the Rfam family "Bacterial large subunit ribosomal RNA". The record is from RNAcentral. RNAcentral also lists the same sequence under 1 other name. Lineage: Bacteria; Pseudomonadati; Pseudomonadota; Gammaproteobacteria; Enterobacterales; Enterobacteriaceae.
AGCGUACACGGUGGAUGCCCUGGCAGUCAGAGGCGAUGAAGGACGUGCUAAUCUGCGAUAAGCGUCGGUAAGGUGAUAUGAACCGUUAUAACCGGCGAUUUCCGAAUGGGGAAACCCAGUGUGUUUCGACACACUAUCAUUAACUGAAUCCAUAGGUUAAUGAGGCGAACCGGGGGAACUGAAACAUCUAAGUACCCCGAGGAAAAGAAAUCAACCGAGAUUCCCCCAGUAGCGGCGAGCGAACGGGGAGCAGCCCAGAGCCUGAAUCAGUGUGUGUGUUAGUGGAAGCGUCUGGAAAGGCGCGCGAUACAGGGUGACAGCCCCGUACACAAAAAUGCACAUGCUGUGAGCUCGAUGAGUAGGGCGGGACACGUGGUAUCCUGUCUGAAUAUGGGGGGACCAUCCUCCAAGGCUAAAUACUCCUGACUGACCGAUAGUGAACCAGUACCGUGAGGGAAAGGCGAAAAGAACCCCGGCGAGGGGAGUGAAAAAGAACCUGAAACCGUGUACGUACAAGCAGUGGGAGCACGCUUAGGCGUGUGACUGCGUACCUUUUGUAUAAUGGGUCAGCGACUUAUAUUCUGUAGCAAGGUUAACCGAAUAGGGGAGCCGAAGGGAAACCGAGUCUUAACUGGGCGUUAAGUUGCAGGGUAUAGACCCGAAACCCGGUGAUCUAGCCAUGGGCAGGUUGAAGGUUGGGUAACACUAACUGGAGGACCGAACCGACUAAUGUUGAAAAAUUAGCGGAUGACUUGUGGCUGGGGGUGAAAGGCCAAUCAAACCGGGAGAUAGCUGGUUCUCCCCGAAAGCUAUUUAGGUAGCGCCUCGUGAAUUCAUCUCCGGGGGUAGAGCACUGUUUCGGCAAGGGGGUCAUCCCGACUUACCAACCCGAUGCAAACUGCGAAUACCGGAGAAUGUUAUCACGGGAGACACACGGCGGGUGCUAACGUCCGUCGUGAAGAGGGAAACAACCCAGACCGCCAGCUAAGGUCCCAAAGUCAUGGUUAAGUGGGAAACGAUGUGGGAAGGCCCAGACAGCCAGGAUGUUGGCUUAGAAGCAGCCAUCAUUUAAAGAAAGCGUAAUAGCUCACUGGUCGAGUCGGCCUGCGCGGAAGAUGUAACGGGGCUAAACCAUGCACCGAAGCUGCGGCAGCGACACUAUGUGUUGUUGGGUAGGGGAGCGUUCUGUAAGCCUGUGAAGGUGUGCUGUGAGGCAUGCUGGAGGUAUCAGAAGUGCGAAUGCUGACAUAAGUAACGAUAAAGCGGGUGAAAAGCCCGCUCGCCGGAAGACCAAGGGUUCCUGUCCAACGUUAAUCGGGGCAGGGUGAGUCGACCCCUAAGGCGAGGCCGAAAGGCGUAGUCGAUGGGAAACAGGUUAAUAUUCCUGUACUUGGUGUUACUGCGAAGGGGGGACGGAGAAGGCUAUGUUGGCCGGGCGACGGUUGUCCCGGUUUAAGCGUGUAGGCUGGUUUUCCAGGCAAAUCCGGAAAAUCAAGGCUGAGGCGUGAUGACGAGGCACUACGGUGCUGAAGCAACAAAUGCCCUGCUUCCAGGAAAAGCCUCUAAGCAUCAGGUAACAUCAAAUCGUACCCCAAACCGACACAGGUGGUCAGGUAGAGAAUACCAAGGCGCUUGAGAGAACUCGGGUGAAGGAACUAGGCAAAAUGGUGCCGUAACUUCGGGAGAAGGCACGCUGAUAUGUAGGUGAAGUCCCUCGCGGAUGGAGCUGAAAUCAGUCGAAGAUACCAGCUGGCUGCAACUGUUUAUUAAAAACACAGCACUGUGCAAACACGAAAGUGGACGUAUACGGUGUGACGCCUGCCCGGUGCCGGAAGGUUAAUUGAUGGGGUUAGCCGCAAGGCGAAGCUCUUGAUCGAAGCCCCGGUAAACGGCGGCCGUAACUAUAACGGUCCUAAGGUAGCGAAAUUCCUUGUCGGGUAAGUUCCGACCUGCACGAAUGGCGUAAUGAUGGCCAGGCUGUCUCCACCCGAGACUCAGUGAAAUUGAACUCGCUGUGAAGAUGCAGUGUACCCGCGGCAAGACGGAAAGACCCCGUGAACCUUUACUAUAGCUUGACACUGAACAUUGAGCCUUGAUGUGUAGGAUAGGUGGGAGGCUUUGAAGUGUGGACGCCAGUCUGCAUGGAGCCGACCUUGAAAUACCACCCUUUAAUGUUUGAUGUUCUAACGUUGACCCGUAAUCCGGGUUGCGGACAGUGUCUGGUGGGUAGUUUGACUGGGGCGGUCUCCUCCUAAAGAGUAACGGAGGAGCACGAAGGUUGGCUAAUCCUGGUCGGACAUCAGGAGGUUAGUGCAAUGGCAUAAGCCAGCUUGACUGCGAGCGUGACGGCGCGAGCAGGUGCGAAAGCAGGUCAUAGUGAUCCGGUGGUUCUGAAUGGAAGGGCCAUCGCUCAACGGAUAAAAGGUACUCCGGGGAUAACAGGCUGAUACCGCCCAAGAGUUCAUAUCGACGGCGGUGUUUGGCACCUCGAUGUCGGCUCAUCACAUCCUGGGGCUGAAGUAGGUCCCAAGGGUAUGGCUGUUCGCCAUUUAAAGUGGUACGCGAGCUGGGUUUAGAACGUCGUGAGACAGUUCGGUCCCUAUCUGCCGUGGGCGCUGGAGAACUGAGGGGGGCUGCUCCUAGUACGAGAGGACCGGAGUGGACGCAUCACUGGUGUUCGGGUUGUCAUGCCAAUGGCACUGCCCGGUAGCUAAAUGCGGAAGAGAUAAGUGCUGAAAGCAUCUAAGCACGAAACUUGCCCCGAGAUGAGUUCUCCCUGACUCCUUGA